CAGUCGCCACGGGAAUACAGAGGGUGCGAGCGUUAAUCGGAUUUACUGGGCGUAAAGCGUGCGUAGGCGGCUUCUUAAGUCGGAUGUGAAAUCCCUGAGCUUAACUUAGGAAUUGCAUUCGAUACUGGGAAGCUAGAGUAUGGGAGAGGAUGGUAGAAUUCCAGGUGUAGCGGUGAAAUGCGUAGAGAUCUGGAGGAAUACCAAUGGCGAAGGCAGCCAUCUGGCCUAAUACUGACGCUGAGGUACGAAAGCAUGGGGAGCAAACAGGAUUAGAUACCCGGGUAGUCCCUGUCUCUUAUAC
This 301-nucleotide ribosomal RNA is filed under the name uncultured bacterium. RNAcentral describes it as "partial 16S ribosomal RNA". It matches the Rfam family "Bacterial small subunit ribosomal RNA", at positions 509 to 807 of the family's 1533-position model. The record is from RNAcentral.